GACGAACGCUGGCGGCGUGCCUAACACAUGCAAGUCGAGCGAUGAAGUUUCCUUCGGGGAACGGAUUAGCGGCGGACGGGUGAGUAACACGUGGGUAACCUGCCUUGUAGAGGGGGAUAGCCUUCCGAAAGGAAGAUUAAUACCGCAUAAGAUUGUAGUUUCGCAUGAAACAGCAAUUAAAGGAGCAAUCCGCUACAAGAUGGACCCGCGGCGCAUUAGCUAGUUGGUGAGGUAACGGCUCACCAAGGCGACGAUGCGUAGCCGACCUGAGAGGGUGAUCGGCCACAUUGGGACUGAGACACGGCCCAGACUCCUACGGGAGGCAGCAGUGGGGAAUAUUGCACAAUGGGGGAAACCCKGAUGCAGCAACGCCGCGUGAGUGAUGACGGUCUUCGGAUUGUAAAGCUCUG
Molecule: ribosomal RNA, 410 nt
Filed under: uncultured bacterium
Lineage: Bacteria
Description: bacterial SSU rRNA
Rfam family: Bacterial small subunit ribosomal RNA
Source: RNAcentral